CCAAACUCAUAUUCCUCUGAUGAAGAUCAUUAUUCUGCUUCACUGCGCGUGAACAUCAUCUUUACAUAAGCUGGACGACACAAAGGCUUAUGACAGCUUUAAUAAUGGAGUCAUGCUGCAUUUAACACGCCUUUAUAGAUGCUCGCUAUGCACAAUUAUUGAGUUAUUGUUUAUGAUCAUGUCAUAUAUGGAUGUGUAUUGACAUGCAUCUGAAGGCAAACGCUGACACGGAUGCCCUGAAUAACUGAGCAGCUCCUCCCUCUGGAUGAAGAACAUUCUGUUCCUCUUCUGACUGGAUGCAAAGAUUAUAUACCGGCAGAAUCCCUGAUGAGGAGAGCUGAAGCGAAUACAGACAAAUGAAAUCAAUGAAAGGGACUUAAUUCUCAUGGAAUAUGAAACUGUGAUUGGGAAUUUCUAUAGAUGUUCUGCUCGUAGUUGUUUAGGGUUAGAAAAUCCUCCUCAUCCAAACUACAGAAAACAAAAGACGGGGUUAUUAUCUUCAACCAGAACAUUAAAACAUUUUAGUUACCAAAAUAAACAUAGGUCAUAUUUAAAAAAAAA
Pimephales promelas (fathead minnow) is the source of this 561-nucleotide non-coding RNA. NCBI's taxonomy places the organism in Eukaryota, Metazoa, Chordata, Actinopteri, Cypriniformes, Leuciscidae. The record is from RefSeq and is a predicted model, not a curated record.